CUUUAUUAUAAAUAACUAUAAAUGAAAAGGAAACAAAUACAACCAAAUAUAAAGAACUUGAAUUAAAUAAUAAUUAAAUAAACUGUUUUUUCGUAAACAUUGUUUAUUCUGUAAAUUGAAGGUUUUCAUAUCGGCAAACGUAAACGUUUAUACAGAUUUUUGAUCAGCCAACUGAUAAAUUGGUCAGACGCCUUCGAAGACUGUCGGAAAGUUGGAAAUCCAAUUAUUGAUUUUAUUUUAUUUUAUAUUUUCUGUCGAGAUAACGGUUGAAGUUUGGUUUUGUCGGCAGGUUUUUGAGUUUGUUUAACUCGAGGAUCUGACUGUUCAAUAUUUCUGCUCUUUAAAACACAAACCGUCGGGAGCAUUUGUCGCGUCUUCAGUUUGUUUGUUUCCGGCCCCUGAGGCCCCGCCCACUCCUGUCUGGCUCUGCAGCUGUUUCAGCCUCGUCUCGUUUGUGUCAGUGUGAUAACGUGAAACUCUGAUGUUGUUUCUCUGCCGUUCAGGGUCCGGAUGGGAGGAGAGGCUCGCUCGGCGACAAGGUGGGAGAGCAAACAAAACGUCGGCGCUGUGAGUGGUGGUUUCUAUGACGACCGCGAAGCCCUUCUAACUGUGUGUGUGUCCUUCCGAAGGGGGCGCCUGGAAACCCGGGAGAUGCAGGAGUACCAGGCAGCCCCGGUGCUUCUGGUCCACAGGGUCCCCGAGGGGUCAGAGGUCAACCUGGACCCAGAGGAAUCGCCGGUCUGCCCGGACCUCAGGGAGGACCAGGAAGCGCUGGAGCUCCGGGCCCCGCCGGGCGCCGCGGAGCUAACGGACAGAAGGGCCAACCAGGCGACCCGGGGGCGAAGGGUGUUCCAGGAUCACUGGGACCCAGAGGAAUGGCUGGUGAGGAUGGUAGAGACGGUCAUGGACCUGCAGGACCUAAAGGUGGCAAGGUAGAUCAGAUCCUAAUGAUCAAAAUAUUUAAAAAAUGUAAAGGGUAGAUUUUGUUCCACAUGUGAAGAAGCGUCUGGUUUGUGUUGACAGGGAGAUGCUGGUUUCCCUGGUUACCCCGGUCUACAGGUGAGCAUGUGUCACGCUCACAUUGAAUCGUCUGCAGCUUUUCGCUGACGCUGAAAUCAGUGAUGUGUUUACACACGAGCACAUUCCUGUUCACAAGAGUUUUUUAACAAGAUGCUGAGUUUAUCCAGAUUCUGUCAGAGCCCUGAGACAAGAAACUCCUCCAUCAGUCAGGAUCGUCGGGGAAAGUCCUGAGCUGGGAGCGUUUUUCCUUCAGGGAUGACGUUUGUGUUUGUUUCCUCCUCAGGGUGAGGACGGCCUGCAGGGACCCGGAGGAUUUCCAGGCCCUAAAGGGAACCAAGGACGAGGGGUGAGGGGGAUUUGAUCUUGUAUGUUUUCAUUUUUUAAUCUGAUGUGGUUCUGCUUCAUCAUCGACUUUUGUUUCUGGUCUGAUUGAUGCAGGGGAACUCGGGCCUGUCUGGAGAGUCGGGAGUGGGCGGAGAACCGGGAUAUCCAGGACACACAGUGAGUGUCGUCGUCAUCGUCAUCUUCGUCCUUCUGACGACACAGCGUCUUAUCUGUGACUUUUAUUGUGAAGUUAAAGAUAUUUCAGCGUUUAUAUUAAUGGUUUGUUUAGUCGUGAUGACUGGCAGAUCCUCAACAGACUGAAACUGUCAGUUAAACUUCAAUCAUCGCUUAAACAAUAAAAUAAAUUAAAAUCAGGUUUAGUCUUUAAAGUAGAAUUUAUUUGGAAAAAAACAACAAAUCAAACGAUAUUUAGAAUUUCAAUAAAGUGCAAAUGUCAGAGUAAAUAAGAUAUUUUUUAAAAAAUCAAUAAAUGCUAAGAUUUAGUUUACAAACCCUUAAGACAAAGAAAGUUUAUUAUAAAUUACUGUAAAUAUACAUAAAUAACAAAUUCAAGAACUUGAAUUAAGAAAAAAAACUUUUCUGCUUUAUUUAUUCUGUAAAAUAAAAGUUAUAAAAUAAAUAUAUAUAAAAUAUACAUUUUUGUUGCACCUCAGCAACCUGAAGGUGUAAAAACUCCUGUGCUGUGGUUCGUUGUUACAUUAAUUGAUGACGACAACAGAAUGAAGAGAAAAAGGUCAAUAUUACUAAUAAUAUGAAUAAUAAGUAUUUCUCCUCAGGGUUCCAGAGGUCCUCCUGGAGGCAAAGGCAUGACUGUGAGUUCACCUUUCAAUACUAACUGGUGUCGACAGAAAUAUCAAAACCCAGAAAUGAGUGUUUCCACAUGUUUCCUCAGGAGUGUCAGCUGAUCACCUACAUCAGAGACAACUGUGGUAAGUGAAACAAUGUUCUCCAUCUUUCACUUUAUUUAAUUUAUUACCACAAUAAAGUACAACGUAUCUACAGCUAGAAACGCUAUGAGAGAGACGCUCCACCCACACUGUAUAUUGUAUAUUAUAUGUAAUAUUCAACAUGUGUUAAAGCGUGUUCAAUCGCAGGUGAAGGUUAUUGACAAAACGAUGAGGUUAUUAGAAUUGGAGGCUUAUUAGACGGACACAGGCCAGUGAGACUAAGACGUGAUGAGCAGAUUAUUUUUAUUCUGUUCGACUGUAUGUGCCUUUAGCGUGAUUUCCCAUCCGUAAGCAUUAGGCGACAAUUUCUGCCCGUUACCGCGGCGCACCGCUGUGAUUAAGUUCUCAUCAUGUCAAAGAAGAUUGCGAAAAGUGAUUAAACUCGUCAGGUGAAGAGUGAAAACAGAAAUCAAGGUCGCUGGUGCGGGUACCGAGGGCGCUGCAGCGCCUCCCCAGGCAACGGGCUGUAGCUGCACGGCAAAAAAAGUUUAUAAAACUGAGAGGAUCGCGGAUUUCAGUGGUGGUAGUAACUAGUCACAGAAGUUGAAUAUAUUGUCCAUAACUCUGAUAUAAUGAGUUAAAUAUAGUUCCAUGAGGUGGACCGACCUCCGUGUGAGUCUCCAUGUUUCUAACGUCGUGUUGAAUAUGGUUGUUGAACUAAACGCUCCAGAACACGUCGCGUUCACGUUGAAUUUUCAGACGAUGCUGGAAACAGGAAAUGGAAUCAGCGGUGCGCCGCCAUAAAGUGUCCCCUGUCCGGUGCUCAGUUGCUACGGUUUACAACUUUACCACCAGAUGCCGCCAGAAAAUUACAAAAAUUACACACUGGGGCUUGAACUUAUACAAAAUCAUGACUGUUGCUGCAGCGUUUUAAACAAAGUCAUCAUACAGACUUUGUUUCUGCACAACCAACUCUGACUGACCUCAGCGUCUCUGAUAGUUCAAACUCAUCCUUUCCCUAAAUUCCUUUUUAUUUAAAUAUACUGAUCUCAGUUGUUUUCUUCUCUUCCCAGUUUGUUCCAUCGGUACGUACCUUCACUUCUACCAACAGAACAAUGUGGCGACUGCAGAGCACUGAACCUCCUCCGUGUCCUCGGCGUCAGACCUUCGGGACGGACGACCGGGGCGAUUUCCUGUGAUCUAAUUCGAGAAUUGGUUAAAACUGUGGUGACUAGAAUGUGACCCGGUAGAAGUUCAGACCUCCACCGAGGCCCAACAGUCCUUCAACUCAAUCACUCACCAAAUCUCACUCAUAGAAUCAGUCACUAAAUGUGUCACAUGAAAACAAUCAGACUUUACUUUUACUGAACUUACACGAUUUAUCGUUUUGUCCACGUGAAGUCUUCUUUGUUGGUUUUCAGAUCGAUCGGAGUGUCCGGCCUAUCCCACCG
This is a long non-coding RNA of Scophthalmus maximus (turbot), 3703 nucleotides long. The record is from Ensembl. NCBI's taxonomy places the organism in Eukaryota, Metazoa, Chordata, Actinopteri, Pleuronectiformes, Scophthalmidae.